GGACUCACAAGAAGUUCUGCAACAGAGUCUGCAUUAGUUGAGAUCCUUAUUGCUUGGACAUGUUAAAAACUCAACUCAAACUGGCUUAAGGAUGGGGGACUACAGUGACUAUGUAAUUGGGAAGUCUAGAGCUGAAUACAUCUUUAAACAUGGACGGACCCAGAGGUAAACAGUAUACACAGAGCUCUGCCUCUUUUCUUCUCCACCCUUCAGCUAUGCUUAUUUCUGCUUGCUAAACUAUAGGCAAGCUCUUUCUGUGUGUCUGUGUCAGAUAGAAUGACCUCAAUCAGCCCCAGGUGCACAUUUGCCCUGCCUAGCAACCACAGUGGAAUUAGACUUCCCCACCCAUUGGAAGCCCUAUGACAAUCUCUCAGGGAAGACGAUAAUUUAUCUUUCAGGGGUCAUAUGCAUAUUCCUGAAUCAAUAUUUGGCACUCCAGUAGCUAGGCUUGGCCACAUACUCACCGAUGAAGUGAGGACAGGUCAUUGUGAUUGACAUCACCAUCUGGACCACUAGGAAUGGGGCAGGAGUAGAAGGAAAAGGAUGGGAAAUGAUGCUGAACAGACAAAAAUUAUAGCUUCCCCCAAUCACUGCAGACUGCCUUCUAGACUCCUGAUGAAACUACAUGCCCUAAAGAAAAGAUUUCCACAAUGUGGGAAGGAUCAACCCAAUAAAAGGCCUCCACAGCUGGAUGUGUUCUGCCUGCAUGGAAUCACAACAUUAGUGCCUCCGUCAGCUGGUGCUAUCAUUCAACCCACAUAUUUUUCAUUCAAAAUUAACCCUGCACCAGAUUCCUCAUUAAUUAUAGCAGGACGUUUUGGAAAAGCUGAUGCUCUUCUGGUAUGAGAUUUGGACUCCAAGAAUAGAGUUAGAAAAAACAUACAUAAAGAUUAUUAUUCCCUACAACAUUAAGCCAUAAAUUAUGCCCCAAGAAAGUUAAAUAAUAUAAUUAAGUAAAGUAUAUAUCUAUUAUUUAUUUUAGUAAGUUUUCAUUUUGAUAUAAUUUCAAACUUACCAAAAGCUGCAAAAAUAUUAUGAAGUCUACUGUACACUUUACACAGGCUUACUAUUUGCCACUAUUUGCCCCAUCUUCAUGAAUCAAUAUCUCUCUCCCACUCCCCUCUCUCUCUCAUUUGAUAGACAGAUGAAGAUAGGUAGAUAGAUAGAUAGAUAGACAGAUAGAUGAUAUUCUGAAUCAUAUGAGAUGAAGUUACAAGCAUCAUGCCCCUUACCCUUAAAUUAAUUCAGGGAGUAUUUUCUAAGAACAAAGACAUUCUCUUAUGUAACCACAGUACAAUUAUUAAUAUUAGAAAAUUUAACAUUGACACUAUCUUAUUAACAUUGACAUUGAUCUUAUCUAUGAUCCAUAUUUGAAUUUUGCCAGUUGUCCCAAUAAUAUCCUUUAUAGCUUUUUUCUCUAAGUCCAGGAUCUGAGCCAGGAUUACACAUUGCACGUGAGCCAGAUCACGCCUCUUCAGUCUUCUUUCAUCUGGAAUGGUUACAUGGCCUUUCUUGGUGCUUCACCCUGUUAUUUUUUGAGAGUAAAGGCCAGUUAUUUUGUAGCAUGGCCCUCAGAUUGGGUCUGUCUGAAGUUCCUUCCUAAUUAGAUUCAGAAUAUGCACUCUUCUGGCAGAAAUGCCGCAGAAGGAUGGGCAUCUGACCGGGAAGCCCCUGAGGGCGGGCUGGCCCGUUAACAAUUGGUGAUGUUAACUUUGAAAUGUGUAUAUAACCAUAUCAGUACAUCUAGAGGUGAGGAAUACCAACAGGUAGAUUGUUAUGAAAGCACACAAAAUGUGAGCCAAGUAUGAGAAACCUGUGGCAUUCAGAGAGACAGCAUAUACUCACACCAGCCCCUCUCGGCAAAUAGGCAAGAAAAUAUGUGAAGUCUUAGAAUCAGCAUCAGGGAGAAAUUGUUAUGGAGAAAUCUGGGGCAUGGGGACAUUUGCACAUUAAGGAAAAACAAGUUGCUAAUAGUUUCCGGGAGUGGAUAAUAAAUUGGGGGCCAUUUAAAAAAAUAAGAUAAAUUUGAAUUCCCCUAGGUUCUCUUUCCAGGACAACGCUGGUAAUUAUGUUUAUAAAUCAUAACUGGUUCCUGACAAUGGAAAUUUUGAUCUGCUUCUGGCAAAAAAAAAAAAAAAAGUAAUUUCUUUUUAAGUUCCCUUUGGUUCAAUAGCUUUUAAUUUUAAAAGGGUUGUAGGAAUAUAUC
Molecule: long non-coding RNA, 2206 nt
Organism: Macaca mulatta (Rhesus monkey)
Lineage: Eukaryota; Metazoa; Chordata; Mammalia; Primates; Cercopithecidae
Source: Ensembl